Pantherophis guttatus is the source of this 383-nucleotide non-coding RNA. The record is from RefSeq and is a predicted model, not a curated record. NCBI's taxonomy places the organism in Eukaryota, Metazoa, Chordata, Lepidosauria, Squamata, Colubridae.
AGAUCCCUUGUUAGGGCUGUCCCUGGGUUGUGCUGUGGGCAGUGGUUUAGCUCAGGUUGAACAAAAGAGGCAAAAUGGAUCAAAAAUUGGGAGGAAGUCAAAAUAAUUGAUCCUGAGUUAAUUGAUAAGGACACAUUAUUUGCCACAGUCUGCUGAUGAAGGAAGAGAGAAGCUUAGAAAGGCAUGCUGUUUUGGCCAACUGCUGCUGAACAACAGAAGCUACCAGAUCAUCUGAUUACAGUUUCAGAACAUAGAGUCCAGUAGCAAAAUGAAGAAACAUGGAUUGUCAGCAGCAUUCAAGAUAUAUCACCUUUUAAAUAUUUGAACUAGAAGAUACCAGCAGAUUAAAGUUGUUAACUUGAAUAAAUACAAUAUACUGCUAA